Long non-coding RNA from Momordica charantia (bitter melon), 711 nucleotides. RefSeq lists it as uncharacterized. The record is from RefSeq and is a predicted model, not a curated record. Lineage: Eukaryota; Viridiplantae; Streptophyta; Magnoliopsida; Cucurbitales; Cucurbitaceae.
GUGCGACGCCGCGGCGGUCCUCCGCGAACGGUAAGUCCGACGAAUGGCGCACGGGUUCCACGAGCAGUGGCGCGUUACCUUCGGUGGCUGCAGCAAACCACGAACUUCGACAACCACCGUGACCCGCAGCAAUCCGAAUUCGGUGACCCCGCGCCCGAUUUUGUGAGACGCAUCGUGUUUGGUGACGUUUUCCGGCCUACCGGCGACGGUCGGUGUUGACGCACAACUAAACGAAUUCAGUUCCGUGAUACCAUCUAUUCGGCGCCAACCCACACUCAAACGAAGUUUGAUUUGAGUUAAUCAUCCAUUUUCGGUAUAGCACCAGCAAGUUCGAGCCUUUUCAAACCCAGUUUUACAGUUCUGAACCCAUUCUACAUCGAUCCAACAAAGACCCAAGUCGUUUCAGCAAACUUCUGGGUCGAGCAAACACUGAGCUAGGAGCAUUAGGAGUGUGCGGAGAAUUCGUUGCCGACCAUGGUGAUGAAGCGGAGGAGACAUGACGAGCGAGAACCAUAGGCUGCGUAGUUACUUUUGCUUAGCUUAGGUUUAGAUGGUUUAAACUUUAUUGCUUGGACAACAAACUACUUGUUCCUAUCUGAUUAAUUGGGAGGUGUCCCACUUGUUGUCUACUUUAAUUUGGAAUAGGUGUUUAUUUUAGUUUCUUCUGUUCAUUGAGUUUGCCUAGUUGGAAUAAUGAAAUUGCUUCAUGGA